RNAcentral lists this ribosomal RNA (494 nucleotides) under uncultured Acaulospora. RNAcentral's name for it is "SSU rRNA". It matches the Rfam family "Eukaryotic small subunit ribosomal RNA", at positions 569 to 1065 of the family's 1831-position model. Lineage: Eukaryota; Fungi; Glomeromycota; Glomeromycetes; Diversisporales; Acaulosporaceae. The record is from RNAcentral.
AGCAGCCGCGGUAAUUCCAGCUCCAAUAGCGUAUAUUAAAGUUGUUGCAGUUAAAAAGCUCGUAGUUGAAUUUCGGAGUUUGUCGGUUGGUCGGGCUUCACUGUCCGCACUGGCCUGAUGAAUUCCUACCUUCUGAAUAACCAGCAUGCUAUUAAGUUAGUGCGUUGGGGAAGCAGAGCUAUUACCUUGAAAAAAUUAGAGUGCUUAAAGCAGGCUUACGCUUGAAUAGAUUAGCAUGGAAUAAUAAAAUAGGACGGCAUGGUUCUAUUUUGUUGGUUUCUAGGAUCACCGUAAUGAUUAAUAGGGAUAGUUGGGGGCAUUAGUAUUCAAUUGUCAGAGGUGAAAUUCUUGGAUUUAUUGAAGACUAACUUCUGCGAAAGCAUUUGCCAAGGAUGUUUUCAUUAAUCAAGAACGAAAGUUAGGGGAUCGAAGACGAUCAGAUACCGUCGUAGUCUUAACCAUAAACUAUGCCGACUAGGGAUCGGACGAUGUAA